Xenia sp. Carnegie-2017 is the source of this 1363-nucleotide long non-coding RNA. RefSeq lists it as uncharacterized. NCBI's taxonomy places the organism in Eukaryota, Metazoa, Cnidaria, Anthozoa, Malacalcyonacea, Xeniidae. The transcript is spliced from 2 exons. The record is from RefSeq and is a predicted model, not a curated record.
GAUUUAAGACCAACAAACGUUCUUCGAGAUGUACAAGGAAAUUUUUUAAUUGCUGACUUUGGAAUAAGUCAUAUGUUAUCUAAUGAAACUUUGACACAUCAAAGCAUACAGAGAGGAGCUAAAAAUUGGAUAGCUCCAGAGUCAUAUAACGUAUCAGAUGAUACAAUUAAUAAAGCUCGUUACAAAAAGGAGUCUGACAUUAUGAAUGCCGGAAUGGUGGCUUAUUAUGUUGCAACAAAGGGAAAACAUCCUUUGGAAUUGAACGGCAUAGACUGGACAACAUUUUGAAAGGAAACCCAGUUGGCUUGAACGAAAUCAAGGAUGCCACGUUUAAAGACCUUUUAUCGUGGAUGCUACAGUUAAAACCUGAAGACAGGCCAUCUGCCAAUGAGGCGUUAAAACACCCUUAUCUACAAUCAGAUGAAGAGAAAUUUAACAUGCUGUGUGAUAUGGGGAACCAACUGGAGGUGAAACAUUCACAAAGUCAAAAUUCUCCCACUUCAGAUGUUCAUAAGCAGUUGCAUGGCUCCACAGAAUGGAUGAAGCGUAUCGAUGAUGAAGUCGUCAAAGAUUUGAUCAACUUUGAAGUAAACGACAGUAUAAGAACUCUAAAGUACGAGUCUACAUGGGCAGGAUGCUUAAGAUUUAUGCGAAACGUUGACCAACAUUGGCAAAAUAAGCCUCGUCCGCAUCUAUCACAACAUGUGAAUCAAGGCAAUUAUAAAAAGUAUUUCCUGCAACGUUUUCCUGAACUUCUUCUUCUGGUGCACAAAGUCAUUAGGUCACUGGAAAACUAAAUCUGAUCACAAGAAUAAUGAAGAACGUCGUGCAAUUGUUCAGGAUUUGUUUACACUAUCUACUCAUAAGUUUUAUUGUCUCGCUUUUAAAUUUAAUGACUUUUUAUUUAAACACUUUCUCACUCGAUACUGAAGUCUUAUAAUUAAUUAUGUAAUAUAUACUGUGAAAAAUUUUAAUCUCCGCAAAUGGAUAUGAUUACUUAAAAUAUUUAUAAUGGGACUGAAAAUAUUACUAAUUCGAAUGUACAGUCAUGUAGUGGCAACGUAUCCCUCGCAAUACAUGACAUUCAUGUUGUUAAAUGAAUUAAAAUUGUAUGUGGCUGCUACUCAAAAAUAUUUAGGUUUUUGAGCGUUGGAGAUUUACCUCAUCGCAGAAUACAGCGAGGAGUUAAAAAUUGGGUAACUCCAGUCAUAUGAUCUAUCCAGCAUCCAAUCAUCAAUGUAUCUUGCUACAAGAAACAGUCUGAUGUUAUGAUAAGUGUUUGUUGUAGACAUUUAAAUGUAGUUGAACUCUGCAAAUAACAAAUAAAGUCAAUUUUUGACGUUUCAGUAUCCACCGCCACUAA